RNAcentral lists this long non-coding RNA (1001 nucleotides) under Ailuropoda melanoleuca (giant panda). Its description in RNAcentral is "lncRNA (ENSAMEG00000025670.1)". The record is from RNAcentral. Lineage: Eukaryota; Metazoa; Chordata; Mammalia; Carnivora; Ursidae.
UUCUAAUUUAUUUCUACUACCCUCAUAGCUGAAACAGUAAAACAGCUACAGAUCAGACUCAAGAAGAAUGAGAAUAUUAGUCAACGGGACUAGACACCACAGGAUGUGAAUCUGCCCGAGAAUGAAGCCAGUGCCUUUAUUUUAAUGAAUAUUCCUAAGACAACACCUUGCCUUCCGAUGACCUCCUCCCUUGUUGCUGGCUCUCCGGAUGUCACAGGGCAGCACCGUUCCUGGACUUGGCACAGAAGCAGUGAGGCAGGACCCAGAAGGGAGUCUGUGGAAAUCUGGGCCUGGGGCCAAUGUGACUGACCCUGGAGUACUUGAGUCACUGCUCUCCUCCAGCAGUGAGGUCUGUACCCGAGCUGGGCUCUUCCACUUGACCCUCUUCCUCUCAUUCUCUCAGGCAAGGUCAGAUGAUUCUAAGUUCUAAAGGUGGGGACAUUUUUAGCCUAGAGCUGAGACUCCAUCUCACUUAGACUCAGGACCAAGUGUGGAAGUAAGUGACAGAAAAACAGUUUGAGACUGUAAGAACUGGAGCUCAGGAUUUGGUGAACCCUUGAAGACAAAGACUUUUAGCACUAACUUAUAUUCUGAGUCUCUGUGGGGAAGUUUUGUAUCUUGUUAACAGCUUUAGGGAGUUCUAUAAAGGGAAAUAAGGAAGGUGUGAGAAGCGCAAUUUUAAAAUCGAGUGGCUUAAUUUCUAUCCUGUCCCGUCAUUACAGGAAUAAUAUUACUGGGAUUAUGCUUACUGUACCACUUUAUUUUUUUUUAAAAGAUUUAGUUCAGGGGGAGAGUGCAUGAGCAGGGGGGUGUGGAGCAGACUCCCCGCUGAGCGAGGGGCUCCAUGUGGGCUCGACAGAGGGGGGCGUUAGGGGGCUUCUCACUGGGCUCAUCUCCUGAUGUGGAGCUCAUGACCUGAGCUGAAACCAGGAGUUAGGCAUUUAACCAGCCGAGCCGCCCAGGCACCUGUGCUGUACCACUUUAAAGCCUUGGUUGAAGUG